AGUAUCCCAACCAGAGCCCAAAUCAGUUCAAGCUUUACUGGGCCUAAGCCCUAUUCAGAAAUCAGUGUUAACUGGGCCUUAGCCCAUAUCAAUAUUAAUCUGGGCCAUAGCCCCUUACAGUUUCAGAGUAUAUUGGGCCUAGCCCAUAUCAGUAUCAAUCUGGGCUGUAGCCCUAUUACAAGUCAAGAUAUAUUGGGCCUUGGCCAUAUUAACACAGUUGGGCCCAUUUCCAUACAAUUGGCCCAUAACAAAACAGCCUCAUAUGAUUAAUGCAUGAUAACCC
Molecule: long non-coding RNA, 283 nt
Filed under: Gossypium barbadense (sea-island cotton)
Lineage: Eukaryota; Viridiplantae; Streptophyta; Magnoliopsida; Malvales; Malvaceae
Description: long non-coding RNA (GBAR_LNC001257)
Source: RNAcentral